UACAGAGGUCCCAAGCGUUGUUCGGAUUCAUUGGGCGUAAAGGGUGCGUAGGCGGCGCGGUAAGUCGGGUGUGAAAUCUCGGGGCUUAACUCCGAAACUGCAUUCGAUACUGCCGUGCUUGAGGACUGGAGAGGAGACUGGAAUUUACGGUGUAGCGGUGAAAUGCGUAGAUAUCAGGAGGAACACCGGUGGCGAAGGCGGGUCUCUGGGCCGAAAUUGACGCUGAGGAGCGAAAGCCAGGGGAGCAAACGGG
RNAcentral lists this ribosomal RNA (253 nucleotides) under uncultured bacterium. Its description in RNAcentral is "partial 16S ribosomal RNA". It matches the Rfam family "Bacterial small subunit ribosomal RNA", at positions 524 to 776 of the family's 1533-position model. The record is from RNAcentral.